ACCUGGGAUGAUCAUCAAGUCUCUUGGAAGAAUAUUCUAUUUCACAGAUUAGUCAAAGUAAAACUGUUUGGACGACAGUGGUCCCAUUAUGGGGCGACAGGUAGCCUAGUGCAUUGGUCCCAUUAUGGGGCGACAGGUAGCCUAGUGCAUUGGUCCCAUUAUGGGGCGACAGGUAGCCUAGUGCAUUGGUCCCAUUAUGGGGCGACAGGUAGCCUAGUGCAUUGGUCCCAUUAUGGGGCGACAGGUAGCCUAGUGCAUUGGUCCCAUUAUGGGGCGACAGGUAGCCUAGUGCAUUGGUCCCAUUAUGGGGCGACAGGUAGCCUAGUGCAUUGGUCCCAUUAUGGGGCGACAGGUAGCCUAGUGCAUUGGUCCCAUUAUGGGGCGACAGGUAGCCUAGUGCAUUGGUCCCAUUAUGGGGCGACAGGUAGCCUAGUGCAUUGGGCCAGUAACCGAAGGGGUGCUGGAUCGAAUCCCCGAGCUGACAGGGUAAAAAUCUGUCGUUCUGCCGCUGAACAAGGGUCCGUCAUUGUAAAUAAUAAUAAUACCUGACUUGCCUCGUUAAAUAAAUAUGCCUGUUAAUAACGAACUCUGCUUUCCACAGUAAGAAUCUCAUACCAACUGUCCAGCAUGGUGGUGGGGAUUUGUGGUACGUGACAAUGCCCUAAAUGUGGCCAUGCUGCACAUCCUAGUGAGAGGAAUAUCAUGAAAUCAAAUGUUUAUAUAGUCCCUUCAGAAUGCAUUCAUGACUUAUUCCACAUUUUUUUGUGUGACAGAAAAUUAGCUAUUUCUGUAUUUAAGACAUUUGCUGAAAUGUCUAAAAAUAUGUUUUCUCUUUGUCAUUAUGGGGUGUUGUGUGUUGAUGUGGAAUAAGUCAAGGGGUACUUUCUGAAGGCACUGUAAAUAGUCUUGUAAUUACACUUAUAUUGUUAUGCAGACACAAUGUAAAUGUUGGGCUCUCUCUCAUUAUGGGGUACGUACCAGUUGGUUAGGUACUUUUUUUUAAAACAAUUUUUACCUUCACUUAACUAGGCAAGUCAGUCAAGAACAAAUUCUUAUAUAUCAAUGACGGCCUAGGAACAGUGGGUUGUUCAGGGGCAGAAUGACAGAUUUGUCAGCUCAGGGAUAUGAACUUGAAACCAUUUUGGUUACUAGUCCAAUGCUCUAACCACUAGGCUACCCUGCCGCCCCAGGCUUUAGUGAAUCUUCUAGAUGGACUGUCUGUCAGCCUUCUAGAUGGACUUGACCCCUCCUGUCUCAGCCUCCAGUAUUUAUGCUGCAGUAGUUUGUGUCGGGGGGCUAGGGUCAGUUUGUUAUAUCUGGAGUACUUCUCCUGUCCUAUUCGGUGUCCUGUGUGAAUCUAAGUGUGCGUUCUCUAAUUCUCUCCUUCUUUCUUUCUCUCUCUCGGAGGACCUGAGCCCUAGGACCAUGCCCCAGGACUACCUGACAUGAUGACUCCUUGCUGUCCCCAGUCCACCUGGCCAUGCUGCUGCUCCAGUUUCAACUGACCUGAGCCCUAGGACCAUGCCCCAGGACUACCUGACAUGAUGACUCCUUGCUGUCCCCAGUCCACCUGGCCAUGCUGCUGCUCCAGUUUCAACUGUUCUGCCUUACUAU
Molecule: long non-coding RNA, 1614 nt
Organism: Oncorhynchus keta (chum salmon)
Lineage: Eukaryota; Metazoa; Chordata; Actinopteri; Salmoniformes; Salmonidae
Exons: 3
Source: RefSeq, a predicted model, not a curated record